Alexandromys fortis (reed vole) is the source of this 1713-nucleotide RNA transcript. RefSeq lists it as uncharacterized. The record is from RefSeq and is a predicted model, not a curated record. The transcript has 5 exons. Lineage: Eukaryota; Metazoa; Chordata; Mammalia; Rodentia; Cricetidae.
GAUAAAAUCAGACUUUAAGGUUCGGGGUUCAGUCCUGACGGUCACCAAGUACCUUUACAGGCCCUCCUGGAGCUCAGUGUUGGGGUGCCUGAUGGGGCACCCAGGCAGGACGCAUUACCUCCCAUGGUUAGGAAACAAAGGUCUUAGAAGGGAUGGAGGACGGUGUGCGUUCAGGUCCUGACAUCACUCAGUGCGUGUCCCCGUCCUGCCCUGCUGACUCCCUUCUACUUCCUGAGACCCAAGCAGCUUCCCAGGAGGUCCUGGUGGGUGGGACGUGGAAAGAAUAUUUCUAUUGAUUUUCAUCUUCUCCUCCCAUCGCCAUACCUCAUAACCUAGGGAUAUAUCGGUACAGCAGUCUCGCACAUAAUUGAUAAGCCUAUAAUUUAUAUCUAAAUUAUAUAAGAUAGUUAUAUAAGAUAGAAUUUAUAGUUCACAUCUGUGAGUGCGCACCUCAACUCUGCCUCUCCCUGAAACGGAGUGUAAUGAGCAAAGUUCAGAGGGCUGGCAGAGGGAGCAAGCGAGCCAGGUUCACUGGCAGGCUCGCUCUCGCGGCCUGUCGGGCUCAUCAUCCAUCCUGCUUCCCUUCUGCCGCACAGCCUGUCACCGAGGAGUCCGGCAGGCUUCUCGUCAGCAGCCAAGCAGAGCCGGCUGAGGGCCCAACCUUCUGUAGCACCUGCAGCUUCAGACACCUCCCGCGCUUGCUCUCUUUCUCGCCUGUAUUGGAGACUGAACUCAGGGCCUUGGGAUGCAGGAAAGCCCUCUGUCUACCACUGAGCCUCUUUUGAGAUACUCCUGUUAGGUUUCCAGGCUGGCCUCCAACUCUCUCUGACGCUCAGCCAGGCUUUGAACUUGAGAUCCCGCCCCUUCCCGGUGGCUUACAGGUCCUUGUCACUGGGCCAGGCCCCAGAUUCUCUUUGAAGCUCUCCUUGAUGCUUGCAAUGUCCCCAGUGCUCUGCAGUACGGAAGUAACUCACUUAACUUGAUUGCACUGAAGCCCAGGCAGUAUGGAAUGCUCUGGGGAGAACCUUCUGGACAGGCACCUUGAAGGAGGUUGGUUUACUCUGCCUCUAGAGGGGAGAUCUUGGGCCCGGUGAGUUUAAUCUCCCUUCACCAGGUCAGUUCUGCUGACUCCACUAAUCAGCUUGAACCUCCUAAUCCAUCCCCAGGAACUUCAGGAAACACAGCGGGUGGCUUGGGAGAGGUGGCCGGGGCCAUUGUGGCCCCUCACCUGUGGCCUUCUUCCGGCAGAGUUGGUGUUCAGGGGGGAUGGGGCAGCUGAGCCAUGUGCACCACCCUCUUCCUGCUCAGCUUUGCCAUGCUGUGGCGCCGCAGAUUCACCAACCGGGUGGAACCAGAGCCCAGCAGAGAGGACGGGGCGGUUGUGGGCAGCAGCUCGGACACAGACCUUCAGUCUUCGGGCAGGGAGAAAGAACCUGUGAGGUAGGCCCUCGCUUCUUCAGGCUGCUCAGCUCUGGGGACUGUGACCCACCGGCCCGGACAGCUGGAGUCCUGCUUCACCCCCUAUCCCAGGAGGAUGUUGUAGGGCUGGAGGCAGCGUCUGGAGGGAUAACAGGAGAAGCAGUCAAGGAGAAGCAUGCAAUGGGAGGCCACGACGCAUGAAUAGCGGAGGCCCUGGGAGCGAGGCAGCCGCGCUAGCUGCCUUCCCCGCUCCGCUGCUCAGGACCACGGGAAGAUCCCCGCGAGGAAGUCUAG